GGAGCCGAAGCGAAAGCGAGUCUUAAUAGGGCGGUAAGUUGAAUGCUGUAGACCCGAAACCCGGCGAGCUAGCCAUGAGCAGGUUGAAGUUUGAGUAAAAUCAAAUGGAGGACCGAACUAGGGCCUGUUGAAAAAGGCUUGGAUGACUUGUGGCUAGGGGUGAAAUUCCAAUCGAGCUGGGAUAUAGCUGGUUCUCCCCGAAAUAACUUUAGGGCUAGCGUUAAACAAGAGUUUUAUGAAGGUAGAGCACUGAAUAGUAGAUGGUCCCACCUCGGGAUACUGACAUUAAUCAAACUCCGAAUGUCAUAAAACGCGUUUAGCAGUCAGACUGCGAGUGAUAAGGUCCGUGGUCAAAAGGAAAAGAGUCCAGACCGCCAAAUAAGGUCCCAAAAUAUAUGCUAAGUGGAGAAGGAUGUAGAGAUGCCUAAACAACUAGGAUGUUGGCUUAGAAGCAGCCAUCAUUUAAAGAGUGCGUAAUAGCUCACUAGUCGAGUGACUCCGCGCCGAAAAUGUACCGGGGCUAAGCAUAUUACCGAAUUUGCGGAUUCGAUACGAAAGUAUUGAGUGGUAGGGGAGCGUUCCAUAAUGGGAAGAAGCAAGAUCGAGAGGACUUGUGGACUAUAUGGAAGUGAGAAUGCCGGUGUGAGUAACGAAAAGACAGGUGAGAAUCCUGUCCGUCAAAAACCCAAGGUUUCCAGGGGAAGGGUCGUCCGCCCUGGGUAAGUCUGGGCCUAAGGUGAGGCCGAGAGGCGUAGCUGAUGGAUAUCUGGUGUAUAUUCCAGAACUAGUAUAAUGACUGAUGGAGUGACGAAGAAGGCUAGGAUCCGAUUCUUAGUGGAUUGAAUACGAGAUAUCAAGAGGGGAUGUAGGCAAAUCCGCAUCUAGAAAUCAAGAUAUGACAGGUAAAGGAUAACGAAGUCAAGCUUCCAAGAAAAGCUUCUAGGGUUAAUCAUUAUACUACCAGUACCGUAAACCGACACAGGUGGGUAGGAAGAGAAUUCUAAGACGCGCGAGAAAACCCUUGUUAAGGAACUCUGCAAGUUGGCCCCGUAAGUUCGCAAUAAGGGGAGCUCAUGUAAAAGUGAGCCACAGAAAAGAAGCCCAAGCAACUGUUUAACAAAAACACAGGUUUAUGCAAAACCGUAAGGUGAAGUAUAUGAGCUGACACCUGCCCGGUGCUGGAAGGUUAAAAGGAGAGGUUAGAGCAAUCGAAGCCUUGAAUUGAAGCCCCAGUAAACGGCGGCCGUAACUAUAACGGUCCUAAGGUAGCGAAAUUCCUUGUCAGGUAAGUUCUGACCCGCACGAAAGGUGUAAUGUCUUUGGGCACUGUCUCAACAGGGGACUCGGUGAAAUCAAACUGCCGGUGAAAAUGCCGGCUACCCGCGAUUAGACGGAAAGACCCCAUGGAGCUUUACUGUAGGUUGAUAUUGAUAUUUGGUAUGUAAUGUACAGGAUAGGUGGGAGACUAUGAAGCUAGGACGUUAGUCUUGGUGGAGUCGACGUUGGGAUACCACCCUUUGCCUAUCGAGUAUCUAACUAGUGUAAGUGGAUUACAAAGGACAGUGUCAGUUGGGCAGUUUGACUGGGGCGGUCGCCUCCUAAAGAGUAACGGAGGCGCUCGAAGGUUCCCUCAGAAUGGUUGGAAAUCAUUCGCAGAGUGUAAACGCAGAAGGGAGCUUGACUGCAAGACAAACAAGUCGAGCAGGGACGAAAGUCGGAGUUAGUGAUCUUACGGUACCGCGUGGAAGGGCCGUGA
This 1756-nucleotide ribosomal RNA is filed under the name human gut metagenome. RNAcentral describes it as "bacterial LSU rRNA". It matches the Rfam family "Bacterial large subunit ribosomal RNA", at positions 662 to 2447 of the family's 2925-position model. The record is from RNAcentral.